This 497-nucleotide ribosomal RNA is filed under the name uncultured bacterium. Its description in RNAcentral is "partial 16S ribosomal RNA". It matches the Rfam family "Bacterial small subunit ribosomal RNA", at positions 28 to 507 of the family's 1533-position model. The record is from RNAcentral.
GAUGAACGCUGGCGGCGUGCCUAAUACAUGCAAGUCGAGCGAACAGACGAGGAGCUUGCUCCUCUGACGUUAGCGGCGGACGGGUGAGUAACACGUGGAUAACCUACCUAUAAGACUGGGAUAACUUCGGGAAACCGGAGCUAAUACCGGAUAAUAUAUUGAACGGCAUGGUUCAAUAGUGAAUGACGGUUUUGCUGUCUCUUAUAGAUGGAUCCGCGCCGCAUUAUCUAGUUGGUAAGGUAACGGCUUACCAAGGCAACGAUGCGUAGCCGACCUGAGAGGGUGAUCAGCCACACUGGAACUGAGACACGGUCCAGACUCCUACGGGAGGCAGCAGUAGGGAAUCUUCCGCAAUGGGCGAAAGCUUGACGGAGCAACGCCGCGUGAGUGAUGAAGGUCUUCGGAUCGUAAAACUCUGUUGUUAGGGAAGAACAAAUGUGUAAGUAACUAUGCACGUCUUGACGGUACCUAAUCAGAAAGCCACGGCUAACUACGUG